RNAcentral lists this small RNA (512 nucleotides) under Pongo abelii (Sumatran orangutan). RNAcentral's name for it is "retained intron". The record is from RNAcentral. Lineage: Eukaryota; Metazoa; Chordata; Mammalia; Primates; Hominidae.
CGUGAAGCCCAAUGGCGAGAAGCCGGACGAGUUCGAGUCCGGCAUCUCCCAGGCUCUUCUGGAACUGGAGAUGAACUCGGACCUCAAGGCUCAGCUCAGAGAGCUGAAUAUUACGGCAGCCAAGGAAAUUGAAGUUGGUGGUGGUCGGAAAGCUAUCAUAAUCUUUGUUCCCGUUCCUCAACUGAAAUCUUUCCAGAAAAUCCAAGUCCGGCUAGUACGCGAAUUGGAGAAAAAGUUCAGUGGGAAGCAUGUCGUCUUUAUCGCUCAGGUAUCUGUUCUACUGUUGCAGCACGUUUCUGUUUGUGAAUUUUGCUAAAAUUGCUUGUAUUUUGACUGCAUUGGUAGUUGGAUUCAUGAAAACAAUCCUUUUAUGAAUCCAGUUGGGUAGAAAGAUAAAGUACAGGGGGAGCGCCGUGGCUUUAGGCCUGUAAUCCCAGCACUGGGAGGUGGAGGCGGGUGGAUCACUUUAGAGACCAGCCUGGGCAACAUGGUAAGACCCUGUCUACAAAAAA